UUUGGUUAAGUUAGAAAGGGCGCACGGUGGAUGCCUUGACACUAGGAGUCGAUGAAGGACGGGACUAACGCCGAUAUGCUUCGGGGAGCUGUAAGUAAGCUUUGAUCCGAAGAUUUCCGAAUGGGGAAACCCACCAUACGUAAUGGUAUGGUAUCCUUACCUGAAUACAUAGGGUAAGGAAGACAGACCCAGGGAACUGAAACAUCUAAGUACCUGGAGGAAGAGAAAGCAAAUGCGAUUUCCUGAGUAGCGGCGAGCGAAACGGAACAUAGCCCAAACCAAGAGGCUUGCCUCUUGGGGUUGUAGGACAUUCUGUACGGAGUUACAAAGGAACGAGGUAGACGAAGCGACCUGGAAAGGUCCGUCGUAGAGGGUAACAACCCCGUAGUCGAAACUUCGUUCUCUCUUGAAUGUAUCCUGAGUACGGCGGAACACGUGAAAUUCCGUCGGAAUCUGGGAGGACCAUCUCCCAAGGCUAAAUACUCCCUAGUGAUCGAUAGUGAACCAGUACCGUGAGGGAAAGGUGAAAAGCACCCCGGAAGGGGAGUGAAAGAGAUCCUGAAACCGUGUGCCUACAAAUAGUCAGAGCCCGUUAACGGGUGAUGGCGUGCCUUUUGUAGAAUGAACCGGCGAGUUACGAUCCCGUGCGAGGUUAAGCUGAAGAGGCGGAGCCGCAGCGAAAGCGAGUCUGAAUAGGGCGUUUAGUACGUGGUCGUAGACCCGAAACCAGGUGAUCUACCCAUGUCCAGGGUGAAGUUCAGGUAACACUGAAUGGAGGCCCGAACCCACGCACGUUGAAAAGUGCGGGGAUGAGGUGUGGGUAGCGGAGAAAUUCCAAUCGAACCUGGAGAUAGCUGGUUCUCCCCGAAAUAGCUUUAGGGCUAGCCUUAAGUGUAAGAGUCUUGGAGGUAGAGCACUGAUUGGACUAGGGGUCCUCAUCGGAUUACCGAAUUCAGUCAAACUCCGAAUGCCAAUGACUUAUCCUUAGGAGUCAGACUGCGAGUGAUAAGAUCCGUAGUCAAAAGGGAAACAGCCCAGACCGCCAGCUAAGGUCCCAAAGUGUGUAUUAAGUGGAAAAGGAUGUGGAGUUGCUUAGACAACUAGGAUGUUGGCUUAGAAGCAGCCACCAUUUAAAGAGUGCGUAAUAGCUCACUAGUCGAGUGACUCUGCGCCGAAAAUGUACCGGGGCUAAAUACACCACCGAAGCUGCGGAUUGAUACCAAUGGUAUCAGUGGUAGGGGAGCGUUCUAAGGACAGUGAAGUCAGACCGGAAGGACUGGUGGAGUGCUUAGAAGUGAGAAUGCCGGUAUGAGUAGCGAAAGACGGGUGAGAAUCCCGUCCACCGAAUGCCUAAGGUUUCCUGAGGAAGGCUCGUCCGCUCAGGGUUAGUCAGGACCUAAGCCGAGGCCGACAGGCGUAGGCGAUGGACAACAGGUUGAUAUUCCUGUACCACCUCUUUAUCGUUUGAGCAAUGGAGGGACGCAGAAGGAUAGAAGAAGCGUGCGAUUGGUUGUGCACGUCCAAGCAGUUAGGCUGAUAAGUAGGCAAAUCCGCUUAUCGUGAAGGCUGAGCUGUGAUGGGGAAGCUCCUUAUGGAGCGAAGUCUUUGAUUCCCCGCUGCCAAGAAAAGCUUCUAGCGAGAUAAAAGGUGCCUGUACCGCAAACCGACACAGGUAGGCGAGGAGAGAAUCCUAAGGUGUGCGAGAGAACUCUGGUUAAGGAACUCGGCAAAAUGACCCCGUAACUUCGGGAGAAGGGGUGCUUUCUUAACGGAAAGCCGCAGUGAAUAGGCCCAAGCGACUGUUUAGCAAAAACACAGCUCUCUGCGAAGCCGUAAGGCGAAGUAUAGGGGGUGACACCUGCCCGGUGCUGGAAGGUUAAGGAGAGGGGUUAGCGUAAGCGAAGCUCUGAACUGAAGCCCCAGUAAACGGCGGCCGUAACUAUAACGGUCCUAAGGUAGCGAAAUUCCUUGUCGGGUAAGUUCCGACCCGCACGAAAGGUGUAACGAUUUGGGCACUGUCUCAACCAGAGACUCGGUGAAAUUAUAGUACCUGUGAAGAUGCAGGUUACCCGCGACAGGACGGAAAGACCCCGUGGAGCUUUACUGUAGCCUGAUAUUGAAUUUUGGUACAGUUUGUACAGGAUAGGCGGGAGCCUUUGAAACCGGAGCGCUAGCUUCGGUGGAGGCGCUGGUGGGAUACCGCCCUGACUGUAUUGAAAUUCUAACCUACGGGUCUUAUCGACCCGGGAGACAGUGUCAGGUGGGCAGUUUGACUGGGGCGGUCGCCUCCUAAAGUGUAACGGAGGCGCCCAAAGGUUCCCUCAGAAUGGUUGGAAAUCAUUCGUAGAGUGCAAAGGCAUAAGGGAGCUUGACUGCGAGACCUACAAGUCGAGCAGGGACGAAAGUCGGGCUUAGUGAUCCGGUGGUUCCGCAUGGAAGGGCCAUCGCUCAACGGAUAAAAGCUACCCCGGGGAUAACAGGCUUAUCUCCCCCAAGAGUCCACAUCGACGGGGAGGUUUGGCACCUCGAUGUCGGCUCAUCGCAUCCUGGGGCUGUAGUCGGUCCCAAGGGUUGGGCUGUUCGCCCAUUAAAGCGGUACGCGAGCUGGGUUCAGAACGUCGUGAGACAGUUCGGUCCCUAUCCGUCGUGGGCGUAGGAAAUUUGAGAGGAGCUGUCCUUAGUACGAGAGGACCGGGAUGGACGCACCGCUGGUGUACCAGUUGUUCUGCCAAGGGCAUAGCUGGGUAGCUAUGUGCGGAAGGGAUAAGUGCUGAAAGCAUCUAAGCAUGAAGCCCCCCUCAAGAUGAGAUUUCCCAUAGCGUAAGCUAGUAAGAUCCCUGAAAGAUGAUCAGGUUGAUAGGUUCGAGGUGGAAGCAUGGUGACAUGUGGAGCUGACGAAUACUAAUAGAUCGAGGACUUAACCAUAUAA
RNAcentral lists this ribosomal RNA (2929 nucleotides) under Bacillus sp. HBCD-sjtu. Its description in RNAcentral is "bacterial LSU rRNA". It matches the Rfam family "Bacterial large subunit ribosomal RNA". Lineage: Bacteria; Bacillati; Bacillota; Bacilli; Caryophanales; Bacillaceae. The record is from RNAcentral.